GGAUGCGAUCAUACCAGCACUAAAGCACCGGAUCCCAUCACAACUCCGAAGUUAAGCGUGCUUGGGCGAGAGUAGUACUAGGAUGGGUGACCUCCUGGGAAGUCCUCGUGUUGCAUUCC
RNAcentral lists this ribosomal RNA (119 nucleotides) under Triticum aestivum (bread wheat). The record is from RNAcentral. Lineage: Eukaryota; Viridiplantae; Streptophyta; Magnoliopsida; Poales; Poaceae. RNAcentral also lists the same sequence under 1 other name.